Small nuclear RNA from Suricata suricatta (meerkat), 104 nucleotides. Lineage: Eukaryota; Metazoa; Chordata; Mammalia; Carnivora; Herpestidae. The record is from Ensembl.
GUGCUCGCUUCGGCAGCACAUAUACUAAAAUUGGAAGGAUACAGAGAAGAUUAGCAUGGCCCCCGCGCAAGAAUGAAUCUGAAUUAGCUAUGUACUCUCUCCAU